This is a long non-coding RNA of Cygnus olor (mute swan), 759 nucleotides long. RefSeq lists it as uncharacterized. The record is from RefSeq and is a predicted model, not a curated record. The transcript is spliced from 3 exons. Lineage: Eukaryota; Metazoa; Chordata; Aves; Anseriformes; Anatidae.
CCUGGGUAGGAGUGAGCAGGCUGUCCCGCCAGCCAUGCCCACAGCUCAUGGGCCCACAGCCCACAUGGGUCACUGGUGGACUCUGGCUGGCUUGAGGCCAUUUUUUGGCUUUAAUUUCAUUGUGGUGAGUCAGGGUUUCUGGGCACCCUGCUGAGGAUUUGGGCUCAGAAGGGGUCUGCACACAGGUAGGCCCCACCACAAGGCUGGCGGCCAUUUUGUGCUCUGCGCAGGGGCAGGCUGCACGCCGGGCCUGUCUGAGGAGGGGGGACGUGGGGAAGGCGCUCCUGAGGUAAAUGGGCACCUUGGGCAGCCCGUGCCCCGUCUGCAGCUGCUCUGGGGUUGUUUUACGGCUUCUGGAAAGAAAUAGAGUGAGAAUUGACAGGUUAUCUAAUGCUGUGUGUUAAAACACAGAGCUCUGCAAGGUCUGGGAGCAGGCUGCCGUCAAAGGCAUGAGGAAAAUGGCACCGGAAGAGGUAUCGGGAGUAACUGCUGAAGUCUCUAGUGCUACAGCAAUGAAAUACUGAAAUUGGGUGUCUGAAAGAAAAGAAAUCUGUUUCAGCUGAGCUCUGGCUCAAAAGCGGGUUACAGUGGCUUAAUGAAUUACCCUGUGUUCGCUGAACAACAUGUGUCCUUACGUGAAAGGAAAACCAUACUGUGUGAGUCGUGUGGCUCCAGCUGAGGACCGAGGCUGCUGUAACAGCAGUGACAGAUCUGUGAACAAAAGUUCCAAGGAAAUAGAAGCUUCAGAAGAGGCUGUUG